This 349-nucleotide long non-coding RNA is filed under the name Homo sapiens (human). Its description in RNAcentral is "non-protein coding lnc-LCA5L-2:4". The record is from RNAcentral. Lineage: Eukaryota; Metazoa; Chordata; Mammalia; Primates; Hominidae.
UGCCAUUUCCCAAAACUCGAUCUAACCAUGUACUAAUCCACAGGCUACUAAUGCUUCCCAUUGUUUCGCUCCUCUCUCUGAACAGCCUCACCUAAUGUCCCCCGAUAUUGAAACUAGACAAGUCUCUCCCAAGAUUGCUGCUUCCAUGUUGUUCUAGUCCAUUCCUGUCACUCAUGUUACUACAUCCAGCUCUGCAUAUCCCAAAUCUUGCCCUUUUCCUGGACUCCCUGCAACUCCUCCUUGUCCCACUGUACACCUGGUAGGACUCUGAUUCGUACAGAUUUCCUCUAUCUUCACAUUAUAAUGUUACCCACAUAACCCUGGCUCUCUUCUCUAAUGCCCAGAGCCU